CGUGAUGUCUGAGUUAUUAAUACUUAGGCCAUGAUCCUGUCACUUAGGUCGAUCGGUACCUCAAGUUGAGAAUCAAAGAAAAGCUGAUUAAUCAGCUUGGAGAUUGAUGAUUGAUUUUAGUUCCUAAACUUGUCUAGGUCACACCCCGCAAGGGUUACUCCUGGGCCAUUAGCUCAGGUGGUUAGAGCGCACCCCUGAUAAGGGUGAGGUCCCUGGUUCAAGUCCAGGAUGGCCCAUUCGGUGUUGGGGGUUUAGCUCAGUUGGUAGAGCGCCUGCUUUGCAAGCAGGAUGUCAGCGGUUCGAGUCCGCUAACCUCCACUGACGAAUCUUCUGACAACGAGCCAAUGGUGAGAAUCGUUGUGUGAUGUGAUUUAGAAUUUAAGUUUGCUGGCAGACCCUAGCUUCUUAUCAUUCCAGGUCUCAAUUAAUUGAGAUUAGGUUGAUAGGACGCUGGGCUCACUGUAAUUCGCAAGAAUUGCAGAGAUGUUCAGCAGAACCUUGACAACUGCAUAGGUAAGUCUGGAAAGAAUAAAGCAUCUCAUGGAUGCAUGAUUCUUGGGAAUCAGCUGAUGCAAUCUGCGCGAGUAGAGAGCUGAGGUUGAUGAACGAGAAUGAUGUUUGAUUCUUGAGUCAAGAGCCGAGACUCUAUAGCG
RNAcentral lists this transfer RNA (653 nucleotides) under uncultured Prochlorococcus sp. RNAcentral's name for it is "partial 16S-23S ribosomal RNA intergenic spacer". The stretch from base 246 to 318 matches the Rfam family "tRNA". The record is from RNAcentral. Lineage: Bacteria; Bacillati; Cyanobacteriota; Cyanophyceae; Synechococcales; Prochlorococcaceae.